UGGGGCGUGGCCAAGCGGUAAGGCGACGGAUUUUGGAUCCGUUAUUCGGGGGUUCGAAUCCUCCCGCCCCAGCCA
This 75-nucleotide transfer RNA is filed under the name Kosmotogaceae bacterium. Its description in RNAcentral is "tRNA-Gln". It matches the Rfam family "tRNA". Rfam says of the family: Transfer RNA (tRNA) molecules are approximately 80 nucleotides in length. Their secondary structure includes four short double-helical elements and three loops (D, anti-codon, and T loops). The record is from RNAcentral. Lineage: Bacteria; Thermotogati; Thermotogota; Thermotogae; Kosmotogales; Kosmotogaceae.